Long non-coding RNA from Melitaea cinxia (Glanville fritillary), 363 nucleotides. RefSeq lists it as uncharacterized. The transcript has 2 exons. The record is from RefSeq and is a predicted model, not a curated record. NCBI's taxonomy places the organism in Eukaryota, Metazoa, Arthropoda, Insecta, Lepidoptera, Nymphalidae.
GUCUAAAUCACUCACUAAUUUUAUAACUUCUUGUUCGUGUAAGGUCUCCUCUGUAGUCACAAAUGUUUAACGCGAGUAAUAAGCGCACAGCGUGGAUGCGGGCGGGCGGCGCUCGCGCUCGCAUGAAGGACUAUGGCGCACGGAGCUGCGUCUGCACAGAGAAAGUACUCGCGCACAGACUCCGAGGCGUCUGCCAAAUUGUCGUUUUCACGGUUAGGAAAUUGGUUGUCUUUUCCGGACGAAUCGCUCGGCACAAUGUGACUUUUUCGGCACAACUCUCCUAAAUCGUGCGAUGAUUGACUUUGGUAAUCUCGUUUGGGUAUUUUCACUUUUGAUUUGUUAUUAUAUUAUUAUGUAUUAAAA